Molecule: long non-coding RNA, 8631 nt
Organism: Setaria italica (foxtail millet)
Lineage: Eukaryota; Viridiplantae; Streptophyta; Magnoliopsida; Poales; Poaceae
Exons: 10
Source: RefSeq, a predicted model, not a curated record
UGUGGCCAAGGCCUCACACCGCUCACCGCCCUCGUCGCGGGAGAAAAAGCCACCGGUCGCCGCCCACCGCCGAUUCGAAAUCCCGAGCCUGAAGCCACCCUAGGCUAGGCUCCCCACGCAGCGGCAACGGAGGGCGAGGAGCGCGAGCGCGCCUCUGCGGGGCCUCGGGCCUCGGCUCUUCCAGCCGCGCGCGCGCGGAGCGGCCGCGGCACGCGCCUCCAGCUCCGUUCCGUCGGCCUCCCGCUAUCCAGGCUCUUGCCGGUGGUCCUAGACCGCAGUUCAGUGUCAAAAGGAUGGCUUGAAUGGGAGAGGAAGAAGAGUAGAAGUCAUCUGCCAACAAAUUGUGCCCAUGGGCAAAAUAAGAAUCAAAGCAAAGCAAUGGCAUUGGUAAGGGAUUAAAGUGAUUGGCUAACCAAUGGUCAUCUUUCAGCAUCACUGAUCCUACUUCGCUUCCCAGACCUGACUGGUCUGGCGACCAAAUUCAGCUUACUAGCGAUUGGAUGCAGCAUGUUUCUUUGUUCCCUUAUCUGUUUGCUUUCUUGACAAUGACAGAAGAAAUAGUCAUCAGGGCACGCCCAAUGGUAGCUUUGCAUCUAUUCUCUUCUGAAAAGGAAACCACAUAGGUGCCAAAAUAUGUGUGGGUUACCAUGCUAUCCAAAUCAGCUUCAGUUGUCACCUAGAGCUCUUGAAAUCACACAGUUUUCUUCUUACAUGAGAGGACUUACAACUGAUCCAGUGCUUUCUUGGCUAGCAGAUUGUUCGUGUGUCACCUUCCCUUCUCUAUCUGAUGCAUUGCUGUCUUGAUUGCACACAUCUGCACCACCUUUACACUCAACAGGAUAUAUGAUGUUGAUGCAACCACCAAGUACCAGCAACACGAGGAAGCUACAUAUCUGCCUCCCAAAAGUUGAUAAUUGAUAUAAAUUCUACGACAAUGCAGUCAAUCCAUAUUCUUGAAGGUCAUUCAGACGCAAAAGAAGAUAGUUGCAUCGGAAUUUGUUCUAUAUGAAAAUGUGGAUUGCUUAUAUGCAAAGCAUUUGAGAAGAUUUGACGGUCGCUUUGAUCUGAAGCUUCUAAAAUAUGGAAGCUCCGAAGUAUUUAUUACUUGACCUUCCUAUUUUGGUUUGGAUGUCCAGCUGACAUCAUGCGUGGUUUUUCAUGCUCAAUGGAAAGAUUUAUUUCGUGGGCUAUUUGUGCAAGGGCCUCGACAUCGCUUAGGGAAGGGUCCAUACUCCCGUGGCCUGUGUGUGAGGUGAUGAAAUACACGCAGAAUGAUGUUGGGGAUUUGUCAAUUGCCCAUUCUUCAGGGGGUAUGAUUGUUUAACAUUCCUAGCACCAAACACGUUGCUGUACUGCGCCCACGCUACCCGCCAUCCGUGGUGCCCAGCAGUACCCACUAGGCAGGGGGCAGGACUCCAGGAGACUACUCGAUCCAGCCUCCAAGCCUCAGGGACACCGGCCGGUGGGGGACCCGCCUACGGCCACUCAGAGGCAGCCACGUCCACACUCACGGCCGUGGGGCCCACCUGGGGAGGACCAACCAUGGCUCGACACCGCGAGGACGAAAUGAAAAGAAGGGAGGAGGAAUUCUUUGCUCUCGCUGGAUUCUUUUUUACUUGAAAGGGGAAGACGAGGACGCACACGCUUCUUUUCUCUUUCGCGACAGUGUCAUGUGGAUGGUGGUGACACGAAGUGGCUGCCGGCUGCCGAUGCCUGCGAUUGGAGGAGAGCCGUAUCGGCUGAUGGGAAAAGGUUCCGGUACGAGUACUGGAUAACUUCGUCCAUCCCAUCGCGACAGGCGACGACAGGGGACAGUUGAGGGCAACGUUUUCUUCAACGGAAUAAGGAGAGGGACUGGCAACAGCCAGGGACAGGCAGAGACAACCAUCAUCAAUGCUUGGACGUAGGACAUCUGCGUUGAGCUUUCCUUCGCCCUGUGCAGAGCAAGGAGCUAGCCACUAGCAAAGGUCCGGUACAGGUGAGAGUGAGACCAUGAAAUCAAAUCGACGAAAAUAACACCCACGUCACCUAGAACUUGCUUCAAAGUCCAACACACGCUGCCUUGAUUGGUUGAACAAUCAGUUGGUACCUAGGUUGGCUGAAAAGGAAAAGGAAAAGGAAAAAAUUACACGUACGGACAGAAAAUCUUAAAAGUUUAGGUAAAACAUAAAAGCUAGGCUGGCCACAGCAGCAUGGAUAAAAUAUUUCACCAACCAUAUUGGUACAUCCAGGUCCAGACAGAUCAGUGCGGCGCUUUCCAGAAAUUUCAAGGGGCGAUUUCAGGUGGUAUUGGGGAAGACUCACUGCACCUUCAUCUGCACUCGGAAUCACUUUAUCGCUCACUGCUAACUGUAGGCGCUUAUUUGGCCUGACUUCGCUGACUUGUAAUCUGAACGAGCAAAUCAACCUCUCUCUCUUUACUUGGCUAUGCAUAUAUAGACUGUCACUGGCACCCAUACCCUCUCUCUAAAUCCACAUCCACUUUAAAUGGGAGGGUAUGGGUAGAAAAUAAUAUAUCCAUUAGAAAUGAGAAGGGCAGGUAUGGGAAUGGUACAAUCAAUCAAUUGGAUAUAAAUUGGAUAUGUAUAUAUGUAUGUAGUACAAAGUUAAUUAUCCAUGGAAUAUGGGUGGAACCGAGGAGGAUAGGGAUGGAUAAUAAUUAUUUGGAUUUAGCUGUGAAUAAGAAUGAAUUUGCCUAUACCCUCCCAGUGGCAGGCUACGCAUAUAUAUAUGAUUCUCCCUCUAGAAAAGAUGGGCAUAUGCGCCUCCCCAGCUGUGUACAAGCUGUUCAACGAGAGAGAUAAACUGGGAUCCCAACGAUAUCAUUUUCAGGAAACCUCGUUGUGGGAUGCUAAGCUACUGUAUUACCGUACUGAUUUUUAAAAUUUUGCUGGGCUAUUGCCGCCUUGUCCUCUCAGUAAUAAAAUAAAAACCCGUAAGCAAAAGGACUGCUGUGUUAACUGUUGCCGAUUGGAACUACUACUUGGCAGGGGCAGGGUACUAGCACCAGGCAGUACUACUUUAAAAUCUCGCGAGGCUGCGGCACUGGGAGGUAAGGUACGACGACCCAUCCCAUCCAUCUCCUCUGCUCCAAAAACCAAACAUCAAGAACCACAGGGAGGUAGAGAUGAUAGAGGAGAGAGAGACAUAGAUGGCCGUUUCUCUCACUGCCUCUCCUUUCAAUUUCUGUACGGCGAGUGCUCACCGGAUCCAAGGAGAACAAAGGCCUCUUCUCUUUCUCGUUCUUCCUGUUGUGCUUGGAGGGUUUAUUUGGUUUUUUCCUCUUCGGUUUCAUGGUUGGUUUCAUGGUUAUGCAACUUCUGCUUGGAUUUUCAAAGGUAUCUGGCUGAUCCGUGCGAAGUCAUUGAGUAAGGCGCUUCUAGGUGCGGAGAGGCUCCGGAGAGAUUGACAGAAGAGAGUGAGCACACGGCGCGAUGAACAGCAUAGCGUGUGUGCUGUCCUCGUCGCGUGCUCACUCCUCUUUCUGUCAGCCUCUCCAUUUCUUGAGGACUUAACUCCCACCGAGAUCCGCUAGUGGGAGUGUAAAACCGUUUAUUAUUCAAUUUCAUUCCAAUUCUAUCCAAUUCAUAUGUUUUUAUGUAGUCUUUUCCUUCCAAGAAAGGGAUUAUGUGGGCUACUUUUGGAAGAAACUCAAUCACUAAAGACAGAGCACGCAUGCCUCUAGUACCGUGGCUUUUCUCCUACUUUACACCUCCACUUCCUUAUCUCCUAGAUCUUCACACACACUUGGUUUUUCCUCAUGUUGUUCUAGUCUUUUCAGUCAAGUUGUCUUGGGAACUGCUACCGAGGAGAGUAUACGGAUGCUGGUGGUAAUGGUAAGAUGGGCAGCUGUAGGCUUCGCAGUACCGGAAUAAAUGAUUGGCUUUCCUUCUUGUUUUUCUUAUCCCCAAAUUUUCUGUUUCCUUCACAUCUUGCCUUGGGAGCUGAAGCAUUGAGAUGCUGCCAGUACACUGCAACACUGUGAGGAUUUUAUCUACGGAAUAAGCUGCAUCCUUGCUCUCUCUUUCUCUCUCUCUCACACACACACUACCAGCACCCUUUGCUUUCAUGGUUUCUUGUUCUUUUCGGGUUCUUCGGCAUGCAGGUGGUUGGCCAUGUGUUGGAGUUGAUCAAGUUCUUGUUGGGUCAAAAAUGGAGCAUGGAGGAGGCUAAGAGAUGAGCUAUAUUUGGCAUGGAAGGUGCCCUUGCUUUGCCUCUGCCAGAUCUAGCUUGCAUCUAUAGCCCAACAGCAUCAUGAUAAGCUAGGAAAUACACUGUGGAGGUGUUUACCCAGAUAACUAAGGUAUUUCCACGAUCUUAGCCUCGUCCUUUUGUUAGUUAAUUAGUUUGGUGGUUCCUUGUGAGGAAUGAACUACUGCUGUCAUUUUUGCAUCAUGCAUGUCAGAUGUGUUUGUGCUUGAUUGCGUUUGGUAUCUCUUUGUUUUUGCCCUGACACUGUUUUGCUUCAGGUAGGGGAAAAAUCAAGUUUGACUAAAGUACAGAAAAAUUACAUCUUUGUAGUAUCCACUGUUUUGAUAUGUCAUAUGCAUACUAGCUAGCUAGGUUAACUGUACCUAGCCGAAGACAUUCAGCAGAAUAUCUUUUCAUGAUGAGAUAGGCGCACAUACAUGCAUGGAAAGAAGUGUUGGUAUUUAUCCAUCCGAAUUAGUACAUCCAGUGAAGAACUGCGGAAAGCUGGAUCAAUUUGCAUUGGGUGGUGAAAUGUGUGGCACGUAGUGAAAGCUAUUCUCUAGUAAGAUCGAUGUGAUAUGAUUCGAGUUGAUGGAUGCUUUGGGAAAGUUACUACUCGACAUGUGUUGUUCCUUUCGACUACUGGAGAGAGGUAAAUUUUCUCGUCAACUCUCUUUUUCUGAGGUGUUUGUGGCAGUCACUUUGUUGACUAACUGUGUGUUUUAGUAGCCAUAUGGUUUCAUCUUUUUUUUUUCUUUUGUCUAGAUAUUUGUAUUUAUAAUCAUAUGAUAGUAUAUUAGGUGUAUACCCGGUUCUAAUAAAAUCUUUGCAAGCAGCAGUGAACCUGUGAUCAAACUCUAGUUAUGAAUUUUAGUACCAUUUAGAGUACCCUUGAAAAUUUGGACCAUUUUAUUUUAUGUGGGUAUAUAGUGCACAUUUAGCUUGUGUCAAAACAACUUUGAAAGACUAAUCAGUAGUACAGUCAUAUAUAUGUAAUAUACUUGGUGUAAAUUAUUCGAGAACGGCACAUGCAACAAUUUAUUUUUUGGAAUUCAUGAUUAAUCCAAAUUAAUAAUGAUGUUAAAGUUCAUUGGUCCUAUUUGAUUUAUCUUCAUUUACUUUCCUAUAAGCUUGACCUGUAUAUAUAUUCUUGGGAUCCAGUAAAAUCGUCAUUUGAGAUAAAUUCAGGAAGUUUGUUCUUAUACCUUAGCAUGUUCUGAUAAUUCAGUGGCCUAUAUAUAAAUGCGUGUUCCUUUCUCUAGUAUUUCUUUUUAAUGCUUGUCAUUAUCGAUAGAUCUGCACAAGCACAUCUACUGCAUCUCGACUUCAUAUUAUGUGGGCAGGAGUAGAGGUUGUUGGACCUCCCAAAUAAAUAUAAUUAAGCCAUGCAAUAAAUAAUUAGAUUGAACAUUUGUUUUUAAGCCGUUUGUUCAUCCUUCUACCCAGAUCAACACUAGCUUUAAUUAUUCUGGGAGAUCGUGAACAAUUUUCGAAGCCAUAUUGGUGUAUGAACUCACAAGUAUAGAAAUGCAUGCGUGCAGAAAAGAGAUAAGCUUUGCACGUACAUUUGUAGACACAUGUAAAUUAAUUAGAAAUGUAUGCAUGCAGAACCGGCUUACAUGAUGUGUGCUGAUACUGAAUAUAUAACAUUGCUUGUCAUGGAUUUAUUAGGGUGUGCAAUAAUGCUAUUAGAAUGACUUAAGAGACAACCCAUACAUAAUGGGGAUUUAUCCAUUAUGUGCCUAUUAUCUGCAAAACCUUGUUAUUUUUUCCGAACACGCAGAAGAGCUGCGUCACCUUGUUAAUAUCUCACAAUUCUGUCUCUUUUUAAGUAUGCAAAAAAAAAGACAGAUUAGCUAAAUACUGCCACUCUAAUUAUUAAAAAUAUAACAUAGAUCCUCGUACACUGUGUUUAUAUGAAACUUUUUUUUAUGCCUAACCAUUGAUAUAUAGAAGAAUUUGAAUUAGGAUAAAUGCAGUUGCAAAUUAAAAUGUGUAGUUUUGAGAAAUAUCUGUGAAAAUAGACCCAAGAUGUGUUUGCGUCCAUGGCUCACAAGCAAGAAAACAGUCCUUUCAUGGAAUUUGCUUUUGCUUGUGAAAGGACUAUAUUUUCUUGCGCGUAGCCUAAUCAUGGUAUUCAAUCAUUCAUAUUGGUUUAUGACGUGUGUAGGAUGCAUGAGUUUAUGAGAAACGAUUAAGAACUCCCAUAGAAAUCGGAAAAUCAACUAGCCACUCAAAUGGUAUUCAUAUUGGUUUAUGACGUGUGUAGGAUGCAUGAAUUUUAUGAGAAACAAUUAAGAACUCCCAUAGAAAUCGGAAAAUCAAGUUGCCACUCAAAUGGCCCCUUUUGUGAGUGUGACUAGCUGGUACCCGUAAAAUACUUAAUGCAUGAUGGAAAUGUAUAUAUAUUUCCUUUCAUAUAACUUGAAAGUUAACCUAUGGAUAUCCCUUGAUGAACUGUUAAGCAGCUAUUGCAUACACUGUUCUGCAAGUAAGGUGCGGCACUGUUCAUGAGAACUCCCUUUCUCUCUCAAGGGAACAUGACUCGGUUUAUUUAAUUUUAUGGAAAAAAAUGCUCUGUUACUCGAUUUUUUAACAGUCAGUUACUUGAAAUUUGAGACUUCUCCUGUAAUUCAUUUUAUAGUGCUGUAUCAGUCCAAACACCUUCAGAUUCGUUAUAUAUAUUGUUAGUACUGUUUAGUUACUUCUUAUUCUCUAUAUUUAUCUUUUGAAAGAAGGUUUUGUCUCUAUGGCCUACCGUAACUUGCUUAGGACUAGGAGACUUACUGUUUUUGUGUAUGCGAAACAGAGAGAUUCCCACCAUAAUUUAUAAUUUUAGCAAAAUAUUUAAUAUUAAAUCAUUUUAAUAUUGUUUCCAACCGGUUUAUAUUAUCAUUAAUGAAAGUGACAGUCACCCAUAUACCUGCAGAUCUUUUCUAGCUCCAUGCAAGCAAAGUAUAUUUGCAGCUAGCAAAGUUGUUGCGCUUCCUUUGUAAAUCAGUAAACGUGAUCUGAACUCUGAAGUAUCGAAACAUGUGUGUGAAAUAUAUAAGAACUAGGAAGCAAACUAAUACAAAAAGGGCUUGAUUUCAUAUUCUUGAUUGUCAAAAUUUGGUUGGUAUAUAGACUAAUGAAAAACACAGACCGAAUAUGAUCAUUGAUAGAUGGUUGGUAAUUUUAUUAAUUGCUAGGUUUUGAGUUUUUUUUAGUUUAACGUACUGUAGGUCUGUAGCCUUUUCAAUUGGCUACGACUGUGUCAAGUCAUAGGCUCAUAGCCUCUCUGAUAAAGGACGAAGGUGUUAUUGUCAUAUCACUGUUGAGGUUUUUAAUUUCAUCUUCUGUCAUGCAUGGCACUUGUAGGAAGAGAGAGAUGUGACAGUACAGUUGCCGCCCGUCCCAGUUUGUGAGCCAUGCAUGUACAUUUGCUUUCAUGCAUCAGAAGUACCAGGCCAACACUGUUUUUUGUUGCCGUCUUUCAUCAGGCAGUUCUUCUGUACUUGGCAUCAGAUGCUGGAGCUAUGCUCUGCUGUACAGUAUAGCAUCGGAUGUGGUGCAGACGUAUUAUGCAUGUGACAUUGUGACGAAGACUCGUCGAGAGGAUAAUGACUAAACCAACUGCAGCAGAUGCGUAAAUUGGAAGUUCAGCCAACCUCAGUUUUGUAUUUCAUGUUCUGGACGCGUAUCUUGCUACUAGUAUGAAAUCUAGCGUUUUAAAAACAUGUGAGUUGUAUGAAAUUUGGUGCCAUGCUCGAUUAUAGAGUAUAGACGUGUGUUUUACCCGAGGGAAAUUGCAAUAACCAUUGCUUAAGAGUUUGAGAUUCUCUCAUAAGCUAUUUUUGUUACAUGUUUUUGUUGCAAAACAUCAUAUAUAUUAUGCAUUCGCUCAACCAAUAAUCAUGCACGUUUUUGUAGAUAUAUGCAUGUUUUCAAAGAUAUGGAGCCAUGACAUGAUGCUGCCAAGCUAUCGCCGAUUCAAACUUAUCCAGUUUGAUAGCCAGACGCUUAUGUGGCGUAGUUUAGAGAUGUUCCAUCCAGAGAAUUUCGGCCAUUCAGCCCUCUCUUGUAGUUUUGUGAAGCUCGACUGACGACUGCGAUUGAGAAUUUUAGUAACGUGGGCCAACUGACCCACUCAAUUUGGGCCGGAGCCCGGAAUGCCAGGAGAAAAAAAAGGUGCAAUUGCUUUUGGUUGGAGUCCGCGAUCUUUUCCCCCCUUUUUUGUGCCUGCGAUAGUCGAGCAGCAAGACAAAUUGAGGUUGAGUCAAUGACCUCAUUGUACAAAUUGAAGUUGAUCGAGUAACUAUUUUAUGCAUGGGCAGAGAAUGGUAUGACGUGCAACAUUGAGUUGCAUGCCAAAGCUACGCUAUAUUCUACUCCCUCCGUUCCAAAUUAUAAGUCAUUCCAAUUUUAUUGGAGGGUCAAAGCAUCUCAAGUUUGACCAAA